ACUGUGCGGAUGACAAGAGUCGCUCUCUAGCGGAAAUAAUGAAGAACUACAACAUUUCAUCGAUAAUUCGAAUUCGAUAUCGACGAUAUCUACGCGAGUCGAUUUCGAUUAUCAAAAUCAAAAUUUAUUGAGAGAAGCUAUCACCUUGAAUGGCGUUUUUGCUGUAAUUGUGUAAAAAAGGUUGAAAGAAUUUGUGAACUGAAACAUUUUAUUUAGUUAUUAAUUGUUGAAGCCACUUGUGCAAGAUGAGUUCACCCGCUACGCAAUCUUCUAGUUCAUCUGUGGCCAAGCCAGGCUUGAAAUUUUACAUGGAUCCUGCUUUGGUUAGAAAAAGGGUUGGUUAUUGUGUAAAACCAACGAAUCCGUUGCUUCAGUUUAUCCCUGAAUGUAAAAAUAUCGACGAAUUCAAUGCUUUCACCAAGACGGAAACAUACCGUAAACUGAUGGAUUUCCGUAAUCCCAUGGUUGAUGUUAAAAUUGAUCCUAGUCUUAAGAAAUAUUACGAAAAAAUUCAAAAUCAGCGCACAAGAUUAUUGGAUGUCAAAGAUUAUCCGAUUUACGCGAAAUUACCUGCGCAGCGAAUGUGGUACCGAGCUACAUGGGCUGUUGUUAUUCUUAGUACUAUUUACAGUCUCAAUAACGUUUUUACCGUAAUUAGACAAAAUUAAUAGCGGUGUUGUUAACUGAUGUUUCAAGUUGUAGUAUUGUUAAAUAAGAAAUUUGUCGAAUUUGUACAUUAUAUAAUACAAAUUAUCUAUUUGCACUUUUA
Planococcus citri (citrus mealybug) is the source of this 769-nucleotide long non-coding RNA. RefSeq lists it as uncharacterized. The record is from RefSeq and is a predicted model, not a curated record. NCBI's taxonomy places the organism in Eukaryota, Metazoa, Arthropoda, Insecta, Hemiptera, Pseudococcidae. The transcript is spliced from 2 exons.